CGACAGGCUUGCCUUCCUCCGACCGCCGACGGCGCUAGAUGGCAGCUUCAUCUACACCCCGAAGGGCAAGUUUCAGCUGGCGUGGAACGUGACGCUCCCGAGGAAACGGUCGUGUGAGGAGACGAACAGUUUGCUGGGGUGCGAUCCUGAGCCGCGGCUAGUGCGGCGCCGCUUGCCCGUCACUCUGUUGCAUCCUGAGGCAACCUGGGUGGGCUUGCGACAUACGGCCGAGUGAUGGAUCGUCUCCGCGCCAAACAGGGCUGUUCAACCGGUGACUGUUCGCCAUAUGAAACGUAAAUAUUUGCACGAGUGGUUAUGUAUGUGUCAACGAUUUAUUGCAAGCUGCUGGUCAUGCAACAUGCGACGGAAAUAAGUAAGAUCACACAGGUUUGCCUAGCUAUGCGUAUUGUGCUCCGGUAGGCUAUGGCCAGGUACAUUCACACAAGCCGCGCAAAAUAUGACCAGCCAUCAGAUAAACAGCUGACACAAAACCUGAAGGCUGUUCAUAUUUUGCGCGUGCUGCAUUGCUGCGUCUAGCUGUCGCUCAGUACCCUGCACAGCGAGCCCGCUGUGAAAGCACUUUCGGAUGCAUGUUUUGACUUCACGACGAAGACGCGCCCUAAAUGACUGUGUUGUGAAUAAAGGCUUCACUGCGUCUGUGCCUGGCGAAAGCCCCUGUCUUAAUGUGCGCCAUCUGCCGGUCUGCUGCAGAGACCGGCCAGGACACGGCGGUCGUCUGUCUUGAGGCGCGCUCGGAGAGCAGCCGGGGACUCCUUUCGUGACGUCACCGCGCCCCGCCGGGCCUCCGGCAUGACGUCACCGCGCCCCGCCGGGCCUCCGGCGUGACGUCACCGCGCCCCGCCGGGCCUCCAGCGUGAGGUCAGCCGCGGCCUCAGGCGCGCUGGUCGACCGUCACGAGGACGCUCCUGUCUCCGAGAAGCGUGGCGAGCUUGUGCCGAGAUCGCGUCUUGAGAAUCGUUACAGGAUUGGGAUUGGUGUGGGAGGCUCGUGCUGCGUGGGUGUGGGCGUCUGGAGAUUUCAUAUGCUUUUUAUGUGUGUUGUUCUUAUCUGAGCUAAUGGCAACUGGUGAGAGCCCGAACAAGCUACAGGGACGGGCCGGCCAACGUUAUCCGAAGCGGUGAAGGCGGAUAACAAUCUGCUGAUCGCGCGUGGCUCCCAUCCGCCAACGUCAGUUUAGAGCUGUAAAGCGGACACAGCCUGGGAGCCGUUGGCCGACCAAUGGGCGUGACACUUCCCCGGCACAUCGGACACUGCGGGCAGGCCGCCCCGCCAAUGCCUGUCGUGCCCUUGCUGGUCACUCGCGCCGUCUUCCGGUUGUCGCCGGCCCGGGUGCCCGGUCGGGGCCGGUGCAGCCCGCCCUGCCGCCUGCGCUGAGACACGUCACCCGCCGCGCCCGUGCCGGCAGUGUGCGCGCUGCACGCGCCCAAGUCCAAAACGCGCUCGCGCCUAAUGCAGUUUUUCCGUGCGUGCGUGCGGACGGCGUCGGUGUCGCUCGGCGAGCUCGUGACUGUCGUGGGGUGUCGCCGACAGCAGAAGACGGCAGCAGGGGGUGUCUGUUCGGCGGUCGAUGCCGUCAGGGUCGCGCUGUCGGCGGCGUCAGCUGCGCGUCGUGCCAGGAACUUGUCGCGGCGCGCUUGUGCUCGUCCGCCGUGUUGCUUAUAUUGCGUCGAGGUAUGGAGGCGUCGUUAUGAGCAUGUGUAGGACGUUGAGUGAGCAGCGUGCGGUUGAGUACAGUUCAGUCUGGUCGGAACAGCUCGCCAGGUUUUGAGUUCUGUGGACUGCGGCUCAGAUAACACCGAACCAACUAAUGAUCGAGGAGACUUACUGCGGGUGAAGGCAUUGGUCGACCCUUAGCGUACUUGUUUUAUGUGCCCAUAAUGACUCCCGAAUGUGUGACUAAAUAAGGACAACCAGAAGACACCACACAUGUCGCGGAAAACCAGCUCCGUUGUGCCGUUCGCCGAACCUCGAUGACUUGAU
Molecule: long non-coding RNA, 2001 nt
Filed under: Pollicipes pollicipes
Lineage: Eukaryota; Metazoa; Arthropoda; Thecostraca; Pollicipedomorpha; Pollicipedidae
Description: uncharacterized LOC119093260
Source: RNAcentral